Small nucleolar RNA from Alligator mississippiensis (American alligator), 298 nucleotides. The record is from Rfam. Lineage: Eukaryota; Metazoa; Chordata; Crocodylia; Alligatoridae.
GCUGUAUGAUGAAAUAAGGCAAAUGUGACUUCACUGGCAGGGCUGCAUCCUCAACCCAUUUCCUUAGACGGGUUUGUAAUCUUGGCAGACAAUGCAGAGUUGUGUGUGUUUGCUGUAAGGGCAGACCAACAGAAAAUUCCAUUUCCUGUUAUCCAUCUCCUCCUAGCUAAGAGGUACUAGGAGUUGAGUAAGGUUAUGGGGACAGGGUGCACUGAUGGUGUCCAAGGUGUGGGUAUGGGAUGUGGCCCAGGUCAAAGCUGGUGAGAGAUGAGCACAGGUCUUUGGUAAUCUGAUGGCU